GAUUUGCAAAGACUCCCUUAUCUUACACACUUUAUUAUCUCGGGAGAAUAUGAAGAAGAUGUGCUAGAGUCCUUUCCAGAGGAGGGUCUGUUGCCCUCGACUCUCAUAUCGCUCUGUAUCCAAUCUCUACCAAAUCUCAAAUCGCUCAACACCAAGGGCCUUGAGCAUCUUGGCUCUCUCAAAAACAUGAGGAUUGCCGGCUGCCCCAAACUCCAAUCCUUGCCGGAAGAAGGGCUUCCAACCUCCCUCCUCCUGCUGGAAAUCUCCGAGUGUCUACUGCUGAAACCUCGCUGCCUGAGGGAUCAAGGACAAGACUGGCAUAAGAUUGCUCGCAUCCCCUUUCUACAUACGGAUUCUGAACUCAGCUUUGAUCAACGCACUGUUGGUCCAACACAACCCUACAGUCUUUUUUCUGAAUUCGACACUGCAAUAUUUUGAACUUUCCACUCAGAAAAGAAAAAGGUCAAAUGUUGACCACCAAGGGGCCAUCCUAAUUGGUAAAGGAAUUUGCUCAUCUCCUUAUUGACCAGGAUUCGAAUCCCUUACUACUCAAGUGGAAGUCUGAUGAUUUAGCUAGAUCGACUAGCUUGCCCCCCCUUGGCUUGGUGUAUCAAUAUUUUUGAACUUUCCACUCAGAAAAUCAGGUUGGUGAAAGCUUAGUGUUUGACACUAUGUACAGAAUUUUGUCCCUCGCAUUGGUGCUUGCAAACUUCUUGGAUGCAUCAACAUGGCAAGCAAUAUGUCACCAGCCAUUACUGAAGAUUUCUGUUGCAAAGUGGAAGAAAAGAUGGUCCGGUACAGGAUAAGUUCCCUUUUUGUGACAUAUAGUUGAUUGCAAGCAGCCUCUCCCAAUAAUAAAGACUAUUGUGUGGACCUUGUCAAUUCAUGGUUCCUGUUCUGAAUGAAGUUAGUGCUUCAAUGAAAGAUAAGAUCCAGGUGGUGAA
Molecule: non-coding RNA, 944 nt
Organism: Camellia sinensis
Lineage: Eukaryota; Viridiplantae; Streptophyta; Magnoliopsida; Ericales; Theaceae
Source: RefSeq, a predicted model, not a curated record